Molecule: ribosomal RNA, 433 nt
Filed under: uncultured bacterium
Lineage: Bacteria
Description: partial 16S ribosomal RNA
Rfam family: Bacterial small subunit ribosomal RNA
Source: RNAcentral
AACGAACGCUGGCGGCAUGCCUAACACAUGCAAGUCGAACGAGACCUUCGGGUCUAGUGGCGCACGGGGGCGUAACGCGUGGGAACCUGCCCUUAGGUUCGGAAUAACUCCCCGAAAGGGGUGCUAAUACCGGAUAAUGUCUUCGGACCAAAGAUUUAUCGCCUUUGGAUGGGCCCGCGUUGGAUUAGCUAGUUGGUAGGGUAAAAGCCUACCAAGGCGACGAGCCAUAGCUGGUCUGAGAGGAUGAUCAGCCACACUGGGACUGAGACACGGCCCAGACUCCUACGGGAUGCAGCAGUGGGUAAUAUUGGACAAUGGGCGAAAGCCUGAUCCAGCAAUGCCGCGUGAGUGAUGAAGGCCUUAGGGUUGUAAAGCUCUUUUACCCGGGAUGAUAAUGACAUUACCGGGAGAAUAAGCUCCGGCUAACUCCGUG